GCAAGUCGAGCGGACAGAUGGGAGCUUGCUCCCUGAUGUUAGCGGCGGACGGGUGAGUAACACGUGGGUAACCUGCCUGUAAGACUGGGAUAACUCCGGGAAACCGGGGCUAAUACCGGAUGCUUGUUUGAACCGCAUGGUUCAAACAUAAAAGGUGGCUUCGGCUACCACUUACAGAUGGACCCGCGGCGCAUUAGCUAGUUGGUGAGGUAAUGGCUCACCAAGGCAACGAUGCGUAGCCGACCUGAGAGGGUGAUCGGCCACACUGGGACUGAGACACGGCCCAGACUCCUACGGGAGGCAGCAGUAGGGAAUCUUCCGCAAUGGACGAAAGUCUGACGGAGCAACGCCGCGUGAGUGAUGAAGGUUUUCGGAUCGUAAAGCUCUGUUGUUAGGGAAGAACAAGUACCGUUCGAAUAGGGCGGUACCUUGACGGUACCUAACCAGAAAGCCACGGCUAACUACGUGCCAGCAGCCGCGGUAAUACGUAGGUGGCAAGCGUUGUCCGGAAUUAUUGGGCGUAAAGGGCUCGCAGGCGGUUUCUUAAGUCUGAUGUGAAAGCCCCCGGCUCAACCGGGGAGGGUCAUUGGAAACUGGGGAACUUGAGUGCAGAAGAGGAGAGUGGAAUUCCACGUGUAGCGGUGAAAUGCGUAGAGAUGUGGAGGAACACCAGUGGCGAAGGCGACUCUCUGGUCUGUAACUGACGCUGAGGAGCGAAAGCGUG
This 724-nucleotide ribosomal RNA is filed under the name Bacillus sp. 12-7. Its description in RNAcentral is "bacterial SSU rRNA". It matches the Rfam family "Bacterial small subunit ribosomal RNA", at positions 57 to 763 of the family's 1533-position model. The record is from RNAcentral. RNAcentral also lists the same sequence under 1 other name. Lineage: Bacteria; Bacillati; Bacillota; Bacilli; Caryophanales; Bacillaceae.